This is a long non-coding RNA of Zonotrichia leucophrys gambelii, 880 nucleotides long. RefSeq lists it as uncharacterized. The record is from RefSeq and is a predicted model, not a curated record. NCBI's taxonomy places the organism in Eukaryota, Metazoa, Chordata, Aves, Passeriformes, Passerellidae. The transcript is spliced from 5 exons.
CUGUGAGGAAAAGGAAGAGUCAGUGCUUGGAGGAGCUGCCUGCAAGAGACAUCAAGGAGCUUUGCAGGGGACAGUUUCAGGAGCCCUGGCAGGGAGGUGUCCUGUCACAGGCAUCCUGCUGGGUGCCACAGCACACAGCCUGGAAUUUAACUCUGAAGUGUCCUUAAUGAAGAUAACUCUCUGUGAGGAGACCACCGUGGCUGCCAGCUCUGUCUGUCCUGCUCAGAAUUGCAGGAUCUGGUCUGGGGUGGGAUUUUUCCCCACUGCUGGACUUCAGGUCAGCUCUCUGAAGAGGGAAAGUGAGGAGGAGGAAUCUCUGCUUCUGCACCAAACCUGCCUUGGAAACAUUGUCAUAAAAGAAGAUCUAUUGCUAAAUGGAUCUUAAAAGAAAUAGGAAAAAUCAGCCUUGCAGGUCACAGGACAGCUGUAGAGGUAGAAGGAAAGGACAGUCUUUGCUAAAAAUCUCAACCCCCACUGCAUCCAGAAGUACUGCUCUGAACAGCUGAUGUCCAUUGGCUCAGCUGGGCCCGGCAUCACUCGAAAUUAGCAGGUAGUGGGAAAGGGUUGUCUGGCCACUGUCAAUGCACAGAGGACACACAGGUUCGUGGCAGGCUGUCCAAAGGCUGUUUGUCACGUGAGCUGGAAAUUAAGCUGUGCCCUAGAAAUAGCCUGAGGACAGGAGGAUUUUAAUGAUGCAUGGUAGAGAAAUAGAUACAUUUGGUGUGUAUGGGUAGGGUUUAGGAUAGACUGUUACUAUUUGCUUUCUCAAAGUUGAAUAAUGGCCCACCAUGUAAUUGUGGGAGACUCAAUUUUAAUAAAUGGUUUUGUUAUCACUGGAGGCCAGAUGUCCUAUGAGGAUAAAGGGCUCUUACCAUCUUGC